GUGCCUGAGGGAUGACAGAGUACCUACUUUAUGUUAUCCAUCUCAAUCACUUUGUAGCGAUUUUUCUUUUGGUUUCUUGCUGAUUAUUAGAGGAUGGAAGAUGC
This is a small nucleolar RNA of Pistacia vera, 104 nucleotides long. RefSeq annotates it as small nucleolar RNA snoR99. The record is from RefSeq and is a predicted model, not a curated record. The transcript has a single exon. NCBI's taxonomy places the organism in Eukaryota, Viridiplantae, Streptophyta, Magnoliopsida, Sapindales, Anacardiaceae.